GUGGGGAAUUUUGGACAAUGGGCGCAAGCCUGAUCCAGCAAUGCCGCGUGCAGGAAGAAGGCCUUCGGGUUGUAAACUGCUUUUGUACGGAACGAAACGGUCCUGGCUAAUACCCGGGGCUAAUGACGGUACCGUAAGAAUAAGCACCGGCUAACUACGUGCCAGCAGCCGCGGUAAUACGUAGGGUGCGAGCGUUAAUCGGAAUUACUGGGCGUAAAGCGUGCGCAGGCGGUGCUGUAAGACAGGCGUGAAAUCCCCGGGCUCAACCUGGGAACUGCCAUUGUGACUGCAAGGCUAGAGGGCGGCAGAGGGGGAUGGAAUUCCGCGUGUAGCAGUGAAAUGCGUAGAUAUGCGGAGGAACACCGAUGGCGAAGGCAAUCCCCUGGGCCUGCACUGACGCUCAUGCACGAAAGCGUGGGGAGCAAACAGGAUUAGAAACCCUGGUAGUCC
This 450-nucleotide ribosomal RNA is filed under the name uncultured bacterium. RNAcentral's name for it is "partial 16S ribosomal RNA". It matches the Rfam family "Bacterial small subunit ribosomal RNA", at positions 354 to 796 of the family's 1533-position model. The record is from RNAcentral.